UAUCCUUACGGCGGACGGGUGAGUAAUGCUUAGGAAUCUGCCUAUUAGUGGGGGACAACAUUUCGAAAGGAAUGCUAAUACCGCAUACGUCCUACGGGAGAAAGCAGGGGAUCUUCGGACCUUGCGCUAAUAGAUAGCCUAAGUCGGUUAGCUAGUUGGUGGGGUAAAGGCCUACCAAGGCGACAUCUGUAGCGGGUCUGAGAGGAUGAUCCGCCACACUGGGACUGAGACCGGCCCAGACUCCUACGGGAGGCAGCAGUGGGGAAUAUUGGACAAUGGCGCAAGCCUGAUCCAGCCAUGCCGCGUGUGUGAAGAAGGCCUUAUGGUUGUAAAGCACUUUAAGCGAGGAGGAGGCUACUGAAGUUAAUACCUUCAGAUAGUGGACGUUACCGCAGAAUAAGCACCGGCUAACCUGUGCCAGCAGCCGCGGUAAUACAGAGGGUGCAAGCGUUAAUCGGAUUUACUGGGCGUAAAGCGCGCGUAGGCGGCUAAUUAAGUCAAAUGUGAAAUCCCCGAGCUUACUUGGGAAUUGCAUUCGAUACUGGUUAGCUAGAGUGUGGGAGAGGAUGGUAGAAUUCCAGUGUAGCGGUGAAAUGGUAGAGAUCUGGAGGAAUACCGAGGCGAAGGCAGCCAUCUGGCCUAACACUGACGCUGAGGUGCGAAAGCAUGGGGAGCAAACAGGAUUAGAUACCCUGGUAGUCCAUGCGUAAACGAUGUCUACAGCCCGUUGGGGGCCU
RNAcentral lists this ribosomal RNA (737 nucleotides) under Acinetobacter calcoaceticus. RNAcentral's name for it is "bacterial SSU rRNA". It matches the Rfam family "Bacterial small subunit ribosomal RNA", at positions 88 to 832 of the family's 1533-position model. The record is from RNAcentral. Lineage: Bacteria; Pseudomonadati; Pseudomonadota; Gammaproteobacteria; Moraxellales; Moraxellaceae.